RNAcentral lists this ribosomal RNA (253 nucleotides) under uncultured archaeon. RNAcentral describes it as "partial 16S ribosomal RNA". It matches the Rfam family "Archaeal small subunit ribosomal RNA", at positions 474 to 726 of the family's 1478-position model. The record is from RNAcentral.
UCCCAGCAGUCCGAGUCGCAGCCACAUUUGUUGGGUCUAAAACAUCCGUAGCUUGUCUUUCAAGUCUUUUGUGAAAUCGGGACUCUUAAGGUUCCGGCGGGCAAAAGAUACUGUAAGGCUAGAGACCGGGAGGCGCAGAAAGUACAUUUGGGGUAGCGGUAAAAUGCUCUGAUCCCAAAUGGACUAACAGUCGCGAAGGCGUUCUGCGAGAACGGUUCUGACAGUGAGGGAUGAAGGCUAGGGGCGCAAAAGG